RNAcentral lists this ribosomal RNA (373 nucleotides) under uncultured organism. RNAcentral describes it as "partial 16S ribosomal RNA". It matches the Rfam family "Bacterial small subunit ribosomal RNA", at positions 527 to 896 of the family's 1533-position model. The record is from RNAcentral.
GUAGGUGGCAAGCGUUGUCCGGAAUUAUUGGGCGUAAAGCGCGCGCAGGCGGUUCUUUAAGUCUGAUGUGAAAGCCCACGGCUCAACCGUGGAGGGUCAUUGGAAACUGGAGAACUUGAGUACAGAAGAGGAAAGCGGAAUUCCACGUGUAGCGGUGAAAUGCGUAGAGAUGUGGAGGAACACCAGUGGCGAAGGCGGCUUUCUGGUCUGUAACUGACGCUGAGGCGCGAAAGCGUGGGGAGCAAACAGGGAUUAGAUACCCUGGUAGUCCACGCCGUAAACGAUGAGUGCUAAGUGGUAGGGGGUUUCCGCCCCCUUAGUGCUGCAGCUAACGCAUUAAGCACUCCGCCUGGGGAGUACGGCCGCAAGGCUG